UAUGCAUUUGUGGGUGCAGCGCAUGCUAAUGCAUGCUGUGUGUGUUUAUAUAUGUAUCUAUAUAUAUAUAUAUAUAUAUAUAUAUAUGCAAGAGUGUGUGUGUGCAGUGCAUGCUUUGCAUGUAUGUGUGUGUGGGUGAGUAUGGGUUGGGCUCAAGCCCAAACCACCUUUUGAUCCUUACCUAUCCAAAUCCAAGGUCCAUUUCCAUUUCCUAGAAUUAUAUUGUUGGGUAGUUUGAUUAACUGUACGUUCUUGUACUUAGGGACACUUAUCGCGACGUUUCUGUCUUCGCUAGUGGCGCAGCUUUUGACGGAGUAUCUGACUUAGGAUGAAGGCACAUAACCCCGGCAACAAGGUACUUCCGCAGCGGCAUCUUCGAGUCCUCUCGGGGUAGGACCCACUCAUUUGUUCAUUCAAUCUUAUCUUAAUUCUUAUUAGUGACUAGGUUUAGUUAUAUGCUCUGAACACGUUCCUAAAUUGUUAAUUCAUUGUUUUUAAAUUCA
Non-coding RNA from Malus domestica (apple), 503 nucleotides. The record is from RefSeq and is a predicted model, not a curated record. NCBI's taxonomy places the organism in Eukaryota, Viridiplantae, Streptophyta, Magnoliopsida, Rosales, Rosaceae.